Molecule: long non-coding RNA, 3223 nt
Organism: Ctenopharyngodon idella (grass carp)
Lineage: Eukaryota; Metazoa; Chordata; Actinopteri; Cypriniformes; Xenocyprididae
Exons: 2
Source: RefSeq, a predicted model, not a curated record
GUCCCUUUAUAUUGGCUACUCCGAAUGACAUCAAUGAAAUUCAUUUUUCCAGACAUACUUUCUCACAACAAAGCAACGACUUCUACACAUUUUUAAUACCAUUUUGUACUGUUGAUAUAUGUUAUAAAAUCAUGCCAUAAUAAAAAAUAUAUACAUUUAUUACAUUUAAGAUAUUUUAAUCCCAAAUGAAAUGGCUGUAUUCGCUUGAACGAUUAAACCGAAUGACCUUUAGACACUUCAAAAUCUUAGUUUAGUUGUACUGACUUACAUACUUUGGAUGUCAUAUCUUUGUUUUUUAUUAUUAUUAAGACCUCUGGACAAAAAAAAAAAAAAAAAAAAAAAAAAGAAAAGACCCAUCACCUCACUGACCAUUAGCAGGCUAAUUUCUGUAUUAUAUUGUAGACUGCCUUAAUGAACACAAAAAGUUUAGUCUUGUGUAAUGGACUAUAUGCACGGAGCGUUCUUUAGAACUUCCGCAAUAAUAUAAUCCAGCUGGAAAACUUCCAGUGAAAUGUCACUUGCUGGUGUGUUGAGCAUCAAUAGUGUAAUACUUAGUUUAUAAUCAUAAUAUAGUCACUUAAAUAGUCAGGCAUAGCAUUAAUUAUUCAAAUGUAAGAUGACAUACAAAAUAAAUAAAUAAAGACGUACCUCAGUGUUCCUCCUCGACUAAAAUCAAAUCGGCCAUCAGUUUUCACACUUUAGUGUGAAAAAUAGCGUCAACAAUUUGUAUUGUGCACUUUAGUUAGAUUCAUUGAAUAAAAUGUGUGUUUUCACAAGUGUGCCUAAAUCAUUGAUCUUGCACUGCACUGACUGACAAAGGGAAAGUCUCUUAAUAAUAUCUCGGUUGAAUGGCCGCUCAUGAAACCAGAUUGGUUGAUGUCCAGUUGGUUGCUCUGUGAGAGGAAAGAUGACACCUGAUUGAAAACAACUCCUUCAAGAGUUUUUGCUUCGAAUGGUAGGAGAGAGACAGGUCUGUAACCGUCUACAAGUGAUGUGUUUAAUGUGGGUUUUUUAAGCAGUGGGGUUACCCGAGUCGGUCUUCAUGGAGGCUGAACGCUGAAGCUUCCGCGACAGCACGCACACUCACAAUAAAUAUACCGUGUGGUGUUUUCACCCAUUUAACAGAACACACUCCAUGCGGUGUACAACUAACACUUCAACUUUUAUUCUUGUUAUCUGCAUUACUCAACACAAUUUCUCACUAGAGCCCCCUAGUGGUGCAGUUCCAAAUUACAUGCAUUACAGUAAGCAAUUACUAUGAAUAGAACAUCAAGUAUUAUAUACUUCUCAACACAACAUACUGCUUAUUAACGCGUGAUUGAAACCAGCUAUGCCUGCCUCUAGAAUUAGCACAGCGAAAGCCUAUAGCCCGUGAAUGGCUGAAAUCGAAAUUACUGCGAGAACAACACAGCGCUUAAGUGCAAAAAAAUGAGCAAGAACACCAACAAACUCUGCAAAUGCGGCUCUUAUUCUAAACAAGUACAAUUAAAAUACAAAUUAUAGUCAAGGAAAAUAGAACAAAAGCACCGAGUCGAAAAUAAUCCUUCCUAGCAGCAAAUAAUAAUCGAUGCAACUGACCCAAAACAGAUAUUAAGCAAAACACACGCUCUUGCCGUCUCCACUGCCAGCUCGCUACUCCUUUCACAGGUUAUUAAUGUUUAGAACUCAUGAAUAAAUGGUUCACAUGUGUUCACUUUACAUUAAGGUUCACUUUCGGGCAUUGAAUCAGUCCUCCAAUUUGAUCAAAGGAAGAAUUUACGUUUUGUUAACAUGGCUCUGAUAGCAGCAAAGAUAUGUAUAGCUAUACACUGGAAAUCAGAAUCACCACCCAGUCAUGCUGUAUGGCUUAGAGAACUUUUGUCCUAUGUGCCUGUGGAAAAAAUAAGGUAUAACUUAAAAAAAGAUUUGGGGCAAAUUUAUUGAAUAUUUGAAUAAUUUGGAUGUUACAUUGAUUGAAAAUGCUGAUGUGAUAAUGUAACCCUUCUUUACUUUAACAUUUUUUUUUAUGUAUUUGUAUAUUUAUUUUAUUAUUAUUAUUAUAAUUUUUAUCUUACACAUCAGCUUAAGGCCUUGUAAUAAUGUCCAUGCAAGUGUUCCGUCUCUUGAGGCGUGGGACAGGGGUGAGGGGGUGUUUAGAAAAAAUAUACUGAACUGAUUCUGUAAAUUGUUUAUGUUAAAAUAAUACAUAUAUUGAUUUAAAAUAAAUAAAUAAAUAAAUUUCAUCUUGAUAAACAAGAAAUCAGUUUUUAUACACUGCUGUGGAUAGGCAUCAUGACCUUUUUGGAGAGUAUCAUGGGUAAGACAGAAACUUCUUGUAAGCAACAUAGUAAGAAAAGUGGCAGUCAUGAGAUAUUAAUAAGAAAAGCACAAAUACAACACCCUUCAGUCUAAUUAUGAUAGUCAAUUUUUGCUGCAUCAAGAAAUAAACCAGGAAUCUGGUUUUGAGUUAAAUAAGUGUGAAUAAAUACAUUUGUUAAGCAUUUAUAACAUGCGAGUUAAAAAAAGGAUCACUAUUUGGCAGGUAUUGCGUUAAAGUCACCCUUUUUAUUCAUGCAGUUAUAACUGCUUAUUAAUGAUUUAUAAUGCAUUUGUACAUGACUUAUUACUCAUUAACAAACACCUUUAACAAACAACUUUACAAAGGGAACCUUAAUGUAAAGUGUUACCCAUUUUUUCAAUGUAAUUUUUUUUUAAUUGGAUAAAUGAAAACAUUUUUUCAGUGUACUUGCAAGUACACUAACUACUUCACUGAUUAGAAUUAUCAGUCACACACUUUCCCACCAGAGGAAGACUGCAUAAAAAGCACAUCACACAUAAAUAAAUACAUUUAUCUACCACACUAUAGUAACUUGCAUACUAAACGAAAGCUAUAUAUUAAGUAAAUACAUUUGUUAAUGUCAUGAUCACCUGUGAGAGUGCCCAUGAUUACCACCAGAGGGCACUCCACCCUGGAAUAUUAUAUCCCAUAUCCUUGGUUAAAAUAGUAAUUUUCUCACGAUUUACAAAUAGUUGGAAACAUUUGGGAUAUUGUAAGUGCUCAACUGAACAAACUAUAUAACAUAGUGGUUUGUGGAUAUUUUACUGCAAAAUUUUUACAUAUUGCAACUUAACAGUAGUUGGCAUCUAGUUUAAUGUAUUUACAUAUGAAUUUAAUAAUAAAAGCUGCCUCACAUUAUUUCCAGUAGUCUAUUAAAUAUUGCAGCAGCUGUUAACUGACUCCCAA